CUCCCGAAUGGGUCAAUGGGUUUCCCAAGAUCUCUGUGUACAGAUGUUUGUAAUAGGUGAUCGUCUACCUGAGCCCUGUGUUGCUGGUUCUUUCAUGGCCAUAAGUAAAGAAAUCCUCAAGCAUUUCAUCCAAGAGGAUGCCCUUUGUUUACCUCUGACCAAGCAGACAAAAAUGCUAUUGCAGUUGCUGCUUCAUUUGUACACUCACGAUGACUUGCUGAACUGCCUGUCCCCAAGGGCCAGCUGGAACAAAAUACUUAUUAACCAAACUUAAACUCCUCAGCUUCCCGGUCCCUGACUUUUUGUCACUCAUCAGCCACACAGCCAGCAAACACAAGCCCUCCAGAGAACGGCCACCUCGGCAAAACUCGUCUCCUCUCAGGUCAAGGUGCCCUUAUUUCUCCCCUCCUCCACAAGUUCCUACUAGCAGUUUCCUUCUUUCCUACACCUGAGAGCCUCAGAUCUGUCGGUAACUUCUUCCCACCUAGUUGCUUCUCUUUUCGUGCAAUAAUCCUUUGCAAUGCCCUCGCCUUGUUAAGCCCAGGGUUGUCUGACAUUUUCUUUUUAAACAUUCUACACCUUGGACACUCUCCUGUUUAUCACUGCUGCAGUACCACGGUAUACUAUGAUUUUUGUGAUUCUAAGAUUAAUGCUUACUGUUUUCUUAGCACUACCAAAAGGAUCAAGAGACGAAAUAAAUGUACAACAGAUUUAUCACACACCUUAAGUAGUAAACAGAAACUUGUUCCUCAUAAUUUGAACAUGGCCAGCACAGGGGAUUAUUCAUCUUAACUUCACUGAUCAGGUUCAAAAUGGGUGAUUAAGUGUUAUCUCCUCCUAUCCAUGAUCAAUCUAUACAGUAACUCAAGUUAGAUGGGCUGAGGAAGUUGACCAACCUCUUACAAGGCUGCUUCUUGCUUGUCUGAAGCUGUUCAAGCAGAACACCAUGUUCACUGAGGAAACUCCCAUAACCAAAAAUCAACAGCAGAGGGAGCUGAGGACUAAGGGGACUCGCUUUUCUUCCCGUAUUCGUAGGGUAGGUGAGAGAAAAUAUAUCUCACGAUAAUGACUGCUCUUAUAUAGCUUUAACUUUCUAACCCUAAGUACUAGAUGCAGCCAACCAAUACUUAUUAACACAAAGGACGCUGAAUGAUUGUGAAACUGAACAGUAUCCAUGCUGUUGAAAAACACACACAAAACUUUCACUUCUUCCUGCAAAACAGCAUAGUGUAAGCUGCUCUAAAUGCCACAUAUUCAGGCCAAAAGGCACUACCUAUAAAGUUCCUGUCUACUCCACCGCGUCCCCUGCUUGGAAAGUCUUUGGCCCUUACCGCGGGGCGCCUUGAUCACACACACAUUCAAGACACCGGCGGCACUUUCAGCGGACGGGUGCAGCCUCAACCAAGAGCUACCUACUCUUCGCAGUCCUCCCUGGGUUCGCACAGCACUCGGUGUUUUGAACCCGUUACCUCUCCGGGGUGCACCUCCGGUGUUCCCACUACGGAAACGGCGUUAGAAACGCUUAGGCUCCGAGGAGACGAAGGCGCUUUCCGCGGGACCGGGCCUCCCUCUCGCACCCCACUGCCGGCCACAAGGGGGCGCCGACGAGCCUUUCCGCCGGGGCAGCGCCGGGGCUCAGCGGCUCCCCGAGGGAAGUGCUUGAGCUUUCGAAGUGCGGGAAGGAAGCAAAACCUAAAAUUGUCGUUGUAAGCACCUAAUGAAAAUCGUGGGACAGGGAAGUAAGAUAAAGCCCACUGUUAUGGCGUGGUUCUUGAUGUCCCCCCAAAGCCUCAUGCAGU
Heterocephalus glaber (naked mole-rat) is the source of this 1799-nucleotide long non-coding RNA. Lineage: Eukaryota; Metazoa; Chordata; Mammalia; Rodentia; Bathyergidae. The record is from Ensembl.